This 71-nucleotide transfer RNA is filed under the name Candidatus Niyogiibacteriota bacterium. Its description in RNAcentral is "Candidatus Niyogibacteria bacterium tRNA-Gly". It matches the Rfam family "tRNA". From Rfam's summary of the family: Transfer RNA (tRNA) molecules are approximately 80 nucleotides in length. The record is from RNAcentral. Lineage: Bacteria; Candidatus Niyogiibacteriota.
GCGAGCGUAGUUUAGUGGCAAAAUACCUGCCUUCCAAGCAGGGGAUGCGAGUUCGAUUCUCGCCGCUCGCA